Molecule: long non-coding RNA, 2294 nt
Organism: Haemorhous mexicanus (house finch)
Lineage: Eukaryota; Metazoa; Chordata; Aves; Passeriformes; Fringillidae
Exons: 2
Source: RefSeq, a predicted model, not a curated record
CGGGAUCGGGAUCGGGAUCGGGAUCGGGAUCGGGAUCGGGAUCGGGAUCGGGAUCGGGAUCGGGAUCGGGAUCGGGAUCGCGAUCGCGCAGCUUUGGACGUCUGGAGGCUGUAACGGGAACUGCCUCCCCUCCCGUCCCGUCCGGCCUCAGGGGCCGCUGUCUCCGCACUCCUGGACAAGGCGGCUGGAAGAUUAUACUUAAAAUACUUGAAUUUAAGCUUGCCACCUUUACAUAUCAGUGUAUUCUCAUGUGCUCUUGUAAAAGAAAUGUUUUCAACCCAUUUCUUGUUUCCUGGUUACCUUCUUAGCAGUUGUUUUUCAUGUGUCAGUGUUACGGUCCAACUGUACAAUGUGCUGAGACAAGGAUGAUUCAGACAAUGUUGCAGAGCUCUUAUUCUCUAGAUGCCUUCCACAAGCAUCAAAUUCAGAGAGGACAACAUGCCCAGCUGGUUCUAUGAGUGUUCAUAGACUUAAACUCUCUUGAGGUCAGUUCAUACCAUAAUUGAUAAAAGCGGUAACUAAACUUGACAGGUUAGUUGAUGUUUUCUGGUUUCUGUUUUUCAGUGAAACACUUUGUGUCGUUUUUUCCUCAAAAACUUUGUUCAUGCUGUGUAUGCUGAUAAUGAAACUAAAUUUAUGAAGUGUCUGAAAUCCAGGUGACAGCUGGAUUAAGAAAGUAAAAAAAGAAGGUAAAAGUCCUUCACUUUGCAUGGGAGUCAAGGAUUAAUCUGAACAAAUUUGGUAGGGAUAGGAGAUGCCCUUCCUCUGUGAUGAACUGUGUUGCAAAAUUCUGCAAAAUAAAGUACUGCUGUCAGUACUGAGCAUACAAGGGUGAUGUUCCUCUUUAACCACUGUAGUCUUUUACAGGCAGGGGUACAGAGAAAGGGGAGCUCUUUUGUAACAUUUUGAGUUUUGUAGUAAAAAUAAAGACUCUUCAACAGGAAUAACUGAAAUGCCUGAGCAGAUUCUUGGAUAGUGAAAGCUCUAAAGCUGCCCAACACCAACAAGAGAUCUGUCCUGGAUGAAUUGCUCACUUCUUCCUCUACAUAUGUGGUAACAUGUCUGUGCCUAGCACCAUCUGUGUUACCAUCCAUUCUGAGGUUUAUUAUCUUUUAGUGUGUAGCUUAUUGGUAUGUUUAUUAUGGCACGAUAAACCCCAGAACUGUGGAUGCUGAAUUGAUUUGUUGUAGGAAUCUGCAUUGCCUGAUGCAUAUUUCAUUUUUGUGUCUCCCUGUGCAUAAACAGUAUACUUUUAUGAUUGUCUCUAGUUAGAGAAAGCCUCAGAUUUUCUGGUGCUUAUUGUUACAGGAUUUUUCUAAAAAAAGGCAAAAUGAUGCCUAGGAGCAGCACUAGUGAUCACAAUCUAGUCCGCUGUGUUUUGGAGCAGCAGAGAAAUGGUGCCAGCAUUGCUGAAGUUUUAUGCUUCAUCAAUAACAGCAUAUGUGGCUUCAGCUGAGCUGCAGUGUGAAAUGCUGUAGUUGCAAGACUGAAAUGUAGCCAAGGCACGGACUGUACCUUCAGCUGUGAUGUGACUGGAGUGAUGUCCACAUCCUUACAUGGGAAUAGCUGCAGUAGAUAAAAUGUUGUUGGACUGCCAUAAAUGGAGGAUAUGAUUCUGUCAUCCUUUUUUUUUGGUAUGUAAAUAAGAGCAUUUAGAUAAACUGUUGUUUAAUAGUGCAUGCUUGAAGUGCUAUUUCUGGCUUUGUAACCAUGUUUCUUUUGAGGUGUCAGUCAUGUUUUUAUUUGGUCAAACAGGUAUAUAUGUCUUUUAUUUUGCUGGCAAGUAGACCCUGUGUAAAAUGUGAAGCUUAUGGCUUAAGUGAAGCUUGUGGCUUUAGUGAAUUAUCUGUAGAAGAGUGAAUGUAUUUUGCUUCAAUGGAAGGCUGCCUGUCCUACGUGUUUUCCACAGCAAGCCUUCAGCAAGUGCAGAAAUGAAAACAGUGACUAGACAACCCGUUUUAAAGUGAUGAAAGGAAAUCUUGUAUUUGGAAUAGUUUGUCAUGACCUUACACUGACACCUCUAAAAAUUUUUGGGCACUUCUAAAGAGAUUCCUUGAGCAAAACUAAAACUACCAUGAGACCCUGGUUCUCCCAGCAGGGAGAGCAGGAUAAUUGUUGUCAGUGCUGCUUAAGUUCAGCAGAGAUGAACAUUUGCUGGCUCCUCAAAUUGGCAAGUUAAAUAGAUAGACUUAAGUGCUUUGUAAAAAUACUAAAGUUUCAUGUUCAGUAGCUAAUAUAACUGGUUGUAUUUGCUGGGAAGAUUGUCUGAAUAAAGUUUGAGAAAAAGUUGAGAA